AACAGAUUUACUUCGUGUAAUGACGUUAGGAAAGCGAGCGGCGGAUGGGUGAGUAACACGUGGGGAACCUGCCCCAUAGUCUGGGAUACCACUUGUAUACAGGCGCUCAUACCGGAUAAGAAAGCAGAUCGCAUGAUCAGCUUUUAAAAGGCGGCGUAAGCUGUCGCUAUGGGAUGGCCCCGCGGUGCAUUAGCUAGUUGGUAAGGUAAAGGCUUACCAAGGUGAUGAUGCAUAGCCGAGUUGAGAGACUGAUCGGCCACAUUGGGACUGAGACACGGCGCGAGCUCCUACGGGAGGCAGCAGUAGGGAAUCUUCCACAAUGGACGCAAGUCUGAUGGGAGCAACGCCGCGUGAGUGAAGAAGGUUUUCGGAUCGUAAAGCUCUGUUGUUGGGUGAA
RNAcentral lists this ribosomal RNA (397 nucleotides) under uncultured Lactobacillus sp. RNAcentral's name for it is "bacterial SSU rRNA". It matches the Rfam family "Bacterial small subunit ribosomal RNA", at positions 65 to 447 of the family's 1533-position model. The record is from RNAcentral. Lineage: Bacteria; Bacillati; Bacillota; Bacilli; Lactobacillales; Lactobacillaceae.